UUAAACUAGGGAUUAGAUACCCUAUUAUUAAAAUUUAAAUUUAAAAUACUAAAAAAGUAUAUAAUUAUUUAUUGAAACUUAAAUAAUUUGGCGGUAUUUUAGUUCAUUUAGAGGAAUCUGUUUAAUAAUUGAUAAUCCACGAAUAAAUUUACUUAAUUUUUUAUUUUGUAUAUCGUUGUUAUAAAAAUAUUUUUUAAUAAUAAUAAUAUUUUAAAAUUUUAAUUAAAAAUUAAAUCAGAUCAAGAUGCAGAUUAUAAUUAAGAAUAUAAUGGAUUACAAUAAAUUUAUUUAAAUGGAUAUUAAUUUGUAAAAUUUAAUUGAAGGUGGAUUUAAAUGUAA
This 339-nucleotide ribosomal RNA is filed under the name Spodoptera ochrea. Its description in RNAcentral is "partial 12S ribosomal RNA". The record is from RNAcentral. Lineage: Eukaryota; Metazoa; Arthropoda; Insecta; Lepidoptera; Noctuidae.